This 253-nucleotide ribosomal RNA is filed under the name uncultured bacterium. RNAcentral describes it as "partial 16S ribosomal RNA". It matches the Rfam family "Bacterial small subunit ribosomal RNA", at positions 524 to 776 of the family's 1533-position model. The record is from RNAcentral.
GACGAACCGUGCAACCGUUAUUCGGAAUCACUGGGCAUAAAGGGCGCGUAGGCGGCUCCAAAAGUCAGGGGUGAAAUCCGGCAGCUUAACUGUCGCAGUGCCUUUGAUACUGUGGAGCUAGAGGGAGGUAGGGGUCUGUGGAACUUCCGGUGGAGCGGUGAAAUGCGUUGAUAUCGGAAGGAACGCCGGUGGUGAAAGCGACGGACUGGAUCUCUUCUGACGCUGAGGCGCGAAAGCCAGGGGAGCAAACGGG